RNAcentral lists this long non-coding RNA (213 nucleotides) under Musa acuminata (dwarf banana). RNAcentral's name for it is "long non-coding RNA (MACU_LNC007932)". Lineage: Eukaryota; Viridiplantae; Streptophyta; Magnoliopsida; Zingiberales; Musaceae. The record is from RNAcentral.
UAAUCUUAGAAUCGGCUUUCACACCGAAAUUAUUUUUAUCGUUCGAACGUUUUUUAUCGUUGAAAGAUUUCCGUUGCACUAAUUCACCCCCCCCCUCUUAGUGCUCAUGAUCCUAACAAUUGGUAUCAGAGCGGGGUUAACUCUCAAACGAAUUAAAGCUCAAGAGAGAUGGCAUACGCCGGAAACCAAGAGGGCCAUUCUAUUACACGUCCA